Molecule: non-coding RNA, 523 nt
Organism: Pantherophis guttatus
Lineage: Eukaryota; Metazoa; Chordata; Lepidosauria; Squamata; Colubridae
Source: RefSeq, a predicted model, not a curated record
UAACUGCCUCUCUUGGUUGCUAUGCAACACUGCUUUUUCUGCUUGCCAACUCUUCCAGUUGAAUCACUUCAGGCUGAUAAGCCUCUUCAUUUUCCAAAUCUAAACUGACCCUGACAUUAUCCCCCCUCCCCUGCAGACUAAGCUCUGGGCUUCUUUGGAUACCAUCAAUGAAACAGGCAUGUGAGGCAGGGAGGAAGAACAUCACUGACAUCGUCCUAGGAAUGCUCCUAUGGUGCAUAACCUUUCCAAUCCACCAGAUGCUAGAGACAGCUCUAAUGGAGCCAGGAGUCCAGAAUUGAUACUCAGCUGUCACUACAGGUAGCUCUUCUGAUAAUUUUGAAGCAACUGGGAGUGCAGGGGGUGGCUGCAACAAAUAAAAGUCUAGGUAUAUCCAUGAUACUCCCUGAUACUUCAGCCAAGUAUCAACCAAGUUCAAGCCUUGCUUAGCUUAAGCGCAGACAAGAAUGACCAUCUACUAUCUCCUGGAUCAUCUAUUUUGAAUUAAAUAUACUUUCUAAAAAAA